GUCCCUCCCUCUGAAGCCCCUCUGUGUAGGGAACAUGACAGCCAGACCAAAGCUCAGAGUUCACAUCAGCAGAGAGGAAAGUCUCCUGAACCCAGAUGUGUGUCCAUGAAGAGUAAUCAGUCUAAAGGACAACCGAUUGCCUUCAAAGAUAGACGCUGUUCUUAUGACGCAGAAGAGGACCAGGAGAGCUCAGAGGUUCCCACAGGUCCGUCUGCCCAGCA
Gasterosteus aculeatus aculeatus (three-spined stickleback) is the source of this 221-nucleotide non-coding RNA. NCBI's taxonomy places the organism in Eukaryota, Metazoa, Chordata, Actinopteri, Perciformes, Gasterosteidae. The record is from RefSeq and is a predicted model, not a curated record.